This is a long non-coding RNA of Micropterus dolomieu (smallmouth bass), 561 nucleotides long. RefSeq lists it as uncharacterized. The transcript has 2 exons. NCBI's taxonomy places the organism in Eukaryota, Metazoa, Chordata, Actinopteri, Centrarchiformes, Centrarchidae. The record is from RefSeq and is a predicted model, not a curated record.
GUUUGUGUUCGAAAGACCACCGUUACCACGGCAACACAAGAGAAACAGCCAGCUUAGAGCCGCCCGGCGAGACUGUUUUCAGACUGAAAAUAGAUCCAGCUGGGUUUGGUCUGGCCACCAUCGGCUUCACCACUUUGACCAAAAUAAAGGGACAAGAUCGACGCCUGGCGACCGUUAACCGGAGGAUUUACCGCCGUUUUUUGGUGUCUCAACAGCCUUCAUAUACUUAAAAAAAAAUCUUAUUUAGCCUAGGCUAUAUAUUUUUGUUUUUCUUCCCGACCGAAGUGAUGUCUGUCGCGGGGUUGAAGAAGCAGUUCCAUAAAGCCACCCAGGUAAGGAGAGACCGUGCAGUCUGUCUGUUUAUGUCUGUGUUGGCUGUCUCAUUCCCAUUUCAUACAUAAUCUCUUCUUCUGAUGCUUCAUUUCGCGGGGAAACCGUUAGAUUGAUGGCGCAUGAUGUGAAGUAAACAUUGCAUUUUUCUUGUGAUCCAUUAACAAUUUUUAAAUGCACUAAUAUCACUAGAAAACGUGAUUUUAUCUUUAAUAAACGCAUUAAAUUCUG